Molecule: transfer RNA, 91 nt
Filed under: Nitrospinaceae bacterium
Lineage: Bacteria; Pseudomonadati; Nitrospinota; Nitrospinia; Nitrospinales; Nitrospinaceae
Description: tRNA-Ser
Rfam family: tRNA
About the family: Transfer RNA (tRNA) molecules are approximately 80 nucleotides in length. Their secondary structure includes four short double-helical elements and three loops (D, anti-codon, and T loops). Further hydrogen bonds mediate the characteristic L-shaped molecular structure. tRNAs have two regions of fundamental functional importance: the anti-codon, which is responsible for specific mRNA codon recognition, and the 3' end, to which the tRNAs corresponding amino acid is attached (by aminoacyl-tRNA synthetases). tRNAs cope with the degeneracy of the genetic code in two manners: having more than one tRNA (with a specific anti-codon) for a particular amino acid; and 'wobble' base-pairing, i.e. permitting non-standard base-pairing at the 3rd anti-codon position.
Source: RNAcentral
GGAGAGGUGGCCGAGUGGUUGAAGGCGCACGCUUGGAAAGCGUGUGUAGGCUUAUACCCUACCGAGGGUUCGAAUCCCUCCCUCUCCGCCA